This 72-nucleotide transfer RNA is filed under the name Marmota marmota marmota (Alpine marmot). It matches the Rfam family "tRNA". From Rfam's summary of the family: Transfer RNA (tRNA) molecules are approximately 80 nucleotides in length. Their secondary structure includes four short double-helical elements and three loops (D, anti-codon, and T loops). Further hydrogen bonds mediate the characteristic L-shaped molecular structure. tRNAs have two regions of fundamental functional importance: the anti-codon, which is responsible for specific mRNA codon recognition, and the 3' end, to which the tRNAs corresponding amino acid is attached (by aminoacyl-tRNA synthetases). tRNAs cope with the degeneracy of the genetic code in two manners: having more than one tRNA (with a specific anti-codon) for a particular amino acid; and 'wobble' base-pairing, i.e. permitting non-standard base-pairing at the 3rd anti-codon position. Lineage: Eukaryota; Metazoa; Chordata; Mammalia; Rodentia; Sciuridae. RNAcentral also lists the same sequence under 2 other names. The record is from Rfam by way of RNAcentral.
GGGGAUGUAGCUCAGUGGUAAAGUGUUUGCUUAGCAUGCACAAGGCCCUGGGUUUGAUCCCCAGCAUCACAA